GAACCUGCGGAAGGAUCAUUGUCGAU
This 26-nucleotide ribosomal RNA is filed under the name Macrolobium suaveolens. RNAcentral describes it as "partial 18S ribosomal RNA". Lineage: Eukaryota; Viridiplantae; Streptophyta; Magnoliopsida; Fabales; Fabaceae. The record is from RNAcentral.